Aedes albopictus (Asian tiger mosquito) is the source of this 58-nucleotide non-coding RNA. Lineage: Eukaryota; Metazoa; Arthropoda; Insecta; Diptera; Culicidae. The record is from Rfam.
UAGCCUAGUGGUUGAGGCUCUGGAUCGCCAAUCCGGAGACGGCGGGUUCGAUUCCCGU